Molecule: long non-coding RNA, 1152 nt
Filed under: Homo sapiens (human)
Lineage: Eukaryota; Metazoa; Chordata; Mammalia; Primates; Hominidae
Description: non-protein coding ZNF460-AS1:23
Source: RNAcentral
AACUCACCCAGCGCAUCCGACUGCACGUAAGUGCGCACCAGAACCCCCGCGUCGUCUUAGGGCCACCGCCUUAGUAUAGGCACAAGUCGGAGGGUCGAAAGGUCCCUUCUAGCUCAGGAAAAUCGAGGUCAGGAGGCGGGGAUAUUCGCCCCGAUUCAGACCCCGAACAAAGGUGCUUACCCUGCUGUGGGCUGGGCCCGCGACUUCUCGCUUGCUUUGCCUCUUUUCUGGAUCUUUUCAUAGAAGAAAAGGAUAAAUGAGCAGUUAAAAUAGCCACCCAAAGGAGGACGCCUGACAGUGUGCCCAGCCUGCUGGGAAAGGACAGACCGCCCUCUAUUGGGCCUCCUUUGGCCGGGCCCAGCCUUCGUAGGAUGCAGGGACUUCCGGGUGAUGUAAUAGGCUUCGCGUUCGCCACGUGUGGACUUCCCGUACCCUGAGGUGGGGAGGCUGCUAGUGGAGCAGGCUUGCCGGGAAGCCCAGUACUCCCAUUUCAAGCAUGAUCAGUUUGAAACGUCAGUAAGACCACAAAGCGUAGUGCCAUAUACUCAACCUAUGAUUCAACAUUGGCAGAGGGUUCGAGCGUGGAUAUAUAAAUUUGGGAGUUAUUACUGUAAACUGUUACUUCAAGUCAUGAUAUUGGGUGAGGCUAUGAAAAGAAUGAGCGUAGAUGGAUAAGUGACGGGAAAGAGGGGAACCCUGGCCCAACCCAGCAUUAACUGGUUGCAGACAGGAGAGUUUAUAAAGUCUUGUUAGGAAUUUUAACAAUCCUAGACUAUGCAAAGAUUAUAUUAUGCGAAGUCUUAGGAGUCCCCAUCAGUAACUUUUUUUUUUUCUUUUCAUGACUAUGAAAGUGAGAGAAUAAAGUCCAGCUUUCAAUGGUUUGACGAUAUAUAUGGUUAAGGAAAUAGAAAGGUGUGCAGAAAGUACUCUCCAAGAGAUUUAAUUUUGAGAUUGAAAAUAGUCAAGGAAUGGAGAUGGAGUCAAUUUCCUACACGAUGCGGUACUUUUGGAGAAAUAUUUUUGGCUAAAUUAGUGUGCAAGGAACACUGUUAUUCAUCACUGGCAAUAGUAAUUUUUGAAAAUUGAUAAAGACAUCAUUCUCUUUUUCACAUAUUUGUGACUCUUAAAUUUUUUUUUUUUUUUUUUUUUUUU